Molecule: ribosomal RNA, 368 nt
Filed under: uncultured bacterium
Lineage: Bacteria
Description: bacterial SSU rRNA
Rfam family: Bacterial small subunit ribosomal RNA
Source: RNAcentral
AACGAACGCUGGCGGCAUGCCUAACACAUGCAAGUCGAACGAAGCCUUCGGGCUUAGUGGCGCACGGGUGCGUAACGCGUGGGAAUCUGCCCUUGGGUUCGGAAUAACAGUUAGAAAUGACUGCUAAUACCGGAUGAUGUCUUCGGACCAAAGAUUUAUCGCCCAAGGAUGAGCCCGCGUAGGAUUAGGUAGUUGGUGGGGUAAAAGGCCUACCAAGCCGACGAUCCUUAGCUGGUCUGAGAGGAUGAUCAGCCACACUGGGGACUGAGACACGGCCCAGACUCCUACGGGAGGCAGCAUGGGGAAUUUUGGCAAUGGNGCAAGCCUGAUCCAGCAAUGCCGCGUGCAGAAGAAAGGCCCUGUGUAGU